UGUAGUCACUGGCAAACUAAAUGAAAAUUUAGGACGCAAAGCCACCGGUCUAAAGAACGUUAUGUUCCACGACAGCGGGGUUGCUUUA
Molecule: non-coding RNA, 88 nt
Filed under: Pseudoalteromonas citrea
Lineage: Bacteria; Pseudomonadati; Pseudomonadota; Gammaproteobacteria; Alteromonadales; Pseudoalteromonadaceae
Description: c-di-GMP sequence
Rfam family: c-di-GMP-I riboswitch aptamer
About the family: GEMM was predicted in a large-scale screen for bacterial structured RNA regulatory elements. Genes associated with GEMM are involved in a diverse array of functions, including chemotaxis regulation, signal transduction, secretion and chitin.
Source: Rfam by way of RNAcentral